Molecule: long non-coding RNA, 1206 nt
Organism: Anopheles gambiae (African malaria mosquito)
Lineage: Eukaryota; Metazoa; Arthropoda; Insecta; Diptera; Culicidae
Exons: 2
Source: RefSeq, a predicted model, not a curated record
CUUUGCAUGCCGAGGAGAAUUCUCUCACCGAAAAUGCUGUCAGUCGCUGUCAAAGCAUGCUGUCAGUUAUUUUCUCAGCUGCAUUCUCGGUGUAUGUAGAAACGCUCACAGACAAGUUUCGUUAAAUUUUUUCUAUCGUUAAAGCUGUGUCGAUGUGUCAAAAUGUUCAAAAUCAAAACAAAAAAAAACGUAAACAAGUUUAUUUAAGACACGAUCGUUUAUCAAGCUAACAAUCCUUGUUUAAAAUAUCGAAAUGAUUUUAUCCCACUUCGUAAGUGACGAUAGCAGCAGUGAAGAAGAAACAACGGUAGAUCUGGCAAAACAGCGCCGACUGCUUCGAAGUGUUUUCGACCCGUUACAGCUUUAUAACCAAGCAUUUAAGAAAAAAAUUCGUGUGUCGAAGGAAAUUUUCCUUGACAUUCUGGCGGAGAUCGAGCCCUCCGAGUAUUUGUUAUUACUAAAGGUGUAUGCAAUAUUAGAUGUGAUAAUUUCAUGUGCGUAUGCUGUUGGUUGUUGAAGCAGCCACUCACUGAAGAAGUUGCUGGAAUCCAAUGCUGUUGAACGCAAACCAGGUGCGUGAGCCCUUCAUCUUUCGACUACCAUCGAAGAACAACAGAGGAAGGAAAUAACAGCAGCUUCUUAACCCAAAACAGCAGCACGUUACCAGUAUCUCCCGCUUAUCGCCAUUUGUAUGGAUAUGGCAGUACACAUAUUUUUAUUUAAAAUGAUAAAAUUUGAUUAUUUCUGAAAAAAAAUGCUUACAUUUUGUCGUGAAAGCAACAGCAACAACUCUGUUGUUGUGUUUUGUCGGUCAAACAAUCUGAGAUUGGCGCCUUUCCGUGACAAAAAGCUGACGGAAAGCAGUUUGACAAAUUUGGAUUUCCGUUUGUGUUUCAUAAUACAUAUCUUGGCAGUAUGCUUGUGAGUUUGUGUUUCGUCAAAAAAAAAUUUCCAACACACAACACAAACGGAUGUCAUAAUACAACGGAAAAAUAUUAAAAAAAUUUAUAAAUAAAUUGUAUAUAUGAAAUAUAAUUAUUACCUACUCAAUCUAUUGUUCCGGCCAUUUUGAACAAACAUUACUUUAGGUGCGAGGGCUCUUUUUAAAAGUUUGGUUAAUGAAGUUAAUAAAUAUUUGUAUGUAUUUCAUUAUCCUGCUUUAUCAAUAGCUGGGAAAAUAAAUAAAUAAUCAUUUUUUAUAAGUAA